This 1812-nucleotide ribosomal RNA is filed under the name Triticum aestivum (bread wheat). RNAcentral's name for it is "partial small subunit ribosomal RNA". Lineage: Eukaryota; Viridiplantae; Streptophyta; Magnoliopsida; Poales; Poaceae. The record is from RNAcentral.
AUGGCAAUGGACGACGUCGCCUUCGCCGCGGGCUCCUCCUCGUCAGCCAUGGACGCGCUCGCCGCCUCCUCCUCCGCCGCCCCCGCCGACCCCUCGCACGGCUGGCAGAAGGUCACCUACGCCAAGCGCAGCAGCCGCAAGCCCGCCGCCGUGGCCCCGGCCGCGGCCGCGGCGCCCGAUCUGGGCAAGCCCGGCGUCUUCGAGGGCCUCGACAAGCGCUCGCAGGAGCGCCACCGCGCGAUCCAGGCCGCCCGGGACGCCGCGGCCGGCUACGACUCCGACGACGCCAACGCCCGCGUCCCCUGGGGCUCCCGCUCCUCCGACGAGGGCUCCGACUCGGACGGGGCGGCCAAGGACCGCCCCCAGGCCGAGGCGCCCAAGAAGCCCAAGAAGCCCAAGGUGAAGAAACCCAAGGUCACGGUCGCCGACGCCGCCGCGCUCAUCGACGCCGAGAACCUCGCCGCCCACCUCGUCGACAUCUCGGCCUCGUAUGAGAACCAGGAGGGCAUCCAGCUCAUGCGCUUCGCGGACUACUUUGGCAGGGCGUUUGCCAACGUGAGCGCGGCCCAGUUCCCGUGGGCGAAGAUGUUCAAGGAGUCACCCAUGCCCAAGAUGGUUGAUGUACCCUUGUCCCAUGUUCCUGAGCCAGUUUGCAAGACUGCAAGUGAUUGGAUCACCCAGAGAUCUCCUGAUGCAUUGGGAGAAUUUGUUUUGUGGUGUAUAGAUAGCAUCAUGUCUGAAUUGUCAGGUCCAACUGUGGGACCUAAGGGCUCGAAGAAGGUUGUUCAACAAACUCCAAAAGCCCAGGUUGCAAUAUUCGUUGUGCUUGCCUUGACUUUAAGAAGGAAGCUAGAUGUAUUAAUAAACCUCUCCCCAAAACUAGUGAGGAACAGUAAAUAUCUUGGACAGGAAAAGCUUCCCAUCAUCGCCUGGGUUAUUAAUCAGGCAUCUCAAGGCGACCUAGUCUCGGGAAUGUUUUGCUGGUCGCAUUCCCUAUUUCCCACAGUGUGUGCAAAGUCAAGUGUGAACCCGCAGUCAAGAGAUCUUGUUUUGCAGUUGCUCGAGAGGUUUGUGUCUACCCCUAAUGCCUCCAAAGCUCGGGCUAUGCUACUGAAUGGCGCCGUUAGAAAGGGGGAGCGCCUGGUUCCUGCUGGAACGCUUGAUCUCUUUAUGAGAUGCACAUUUCCCGUGCCUAAUGCACGUGUCAAGGCUACAGAAAGGUUUGAGGCAGCCUAUCCAAUAAUAAAGGAGCUGGCUCUUGUUGGUACUCCUGGCUCCAAAGCUGUGAAGCAAGCAUCACAGCAGCUUCUGCCGUUGGCUGUGAAGGGAAUGCAAGAAAAUAAUGCAGAGCUCGCCAAGGAGGCCACUGAUGUGUUCAUUUGGUGCCUGACUCAGAGUCCAGAGUCCUACAAGCUGUGGGACAAGCUUCAUGCAGAGAAUAUCCAAGCCAGUGUUGCGGUCUUGCGCAAAAUCACUGCUGACUGGAAGACACUCUCUCCCAAGCUCAACUCUGAAGCUCUUAAAGCAACUCUGAAGAGCCUCAAGGCUAAGAAUGAGGCGGCUCUGGAGGAAGCUGAGGACUCUGGCGAGAAGGCAUCCAUCAAGGAAGCAGACAAGUACUGCAAGGCCAUCAUCGGGAGGCUGUCGCGCGGUGCCACCUGCCUGAAGGGCAGCCUGCUGGUGAUUGCGCUCGCAGCCGGGGCCGGCUUCAUGCUCUCCCCCAACCUGGACCUCACCGCCGACCUCGAGAAGCUCCAGGCGAUGGCGUCGGAGCUCCAGGCCGUGGCGUCGGAGUACCUGCGGUCCUUCUGA